RNAcentral lists this ribosomal RNA (363 nucleotides) under Promitobates difficilis. RNAcentral's name for it is "partial large subunit ribosomal RNA". The stretch from base 216 to 363 matches the Rfam family "Bacterial large subunit ribosomal RNA", at positions 2473 to 2621 of the family's 2925-position model. Lineage: Eukaryota; Metazoa; Arthropoda; Arachnida; Opiliones; Gonyleptidae. The record is from RNAcentral.
UUUUGGGACGAGAAGACCCUAGAAGCUUUUUAAAUUAAAAAUUUUUGAAUUGGGGCAAUUGAUGAAGAUAAAGAUUUUUAUAAUAUAUAUAUAUAUAUUAUUUUAAUGUAUAUAUAUAUUAUAUAUACACACACUUAUACAAACAUAUGUAUAAAUAUAUAGAUAUAUAAUAUUUUAUUAUAAUAGGAUAAUAAGGUAUUAUAAGUUACUCUAGGGAUAACAGCGUUAUUUAAUUAAAAAGUUCUUAUUAGUAGUUAGGUUUGCGACCUCGAUGUUGAAUUAAUAAUUUAUUUUGGUGAAGGAGCUAAAAAAGGAAGUCUGUUCGACUUUUAAAUUAUUACGUGAUCUGAGUUCAGACCGGAG